GAGUUUGAUCCUGGCUCAGGAUGAACGCUGGCGGCGUGCUUAACACAUGCAAGUCGAACGAAGCACUCUUUUAGAUUUCCUUCGGGGAAGAAGAAAUUGUGACUGAGUGGCGGACGGGUGAGUAACGCGUGGGCAACCUGCCCCAUACAGGGGGAUAACAGCCGGAAACGGCUGCUAAAACCGCAUAAGCGCACAAGGGCCGCAUGGCCUGGUGUGAAAAACUCCGGUGGUAUGGGAUGGGCCCGCGUCUGAUUAGCUAGUUGGCGGGGGAGAGGCCCACCAAGGCGACGAUCAGUAGCCGACCUGAGAGGGUGGCCGGCCACAUUGGGACUGAGACACGGCCCAAACUCCUACGGGAGGCAGCAGUGGGGAAUAUUGCACAAUGGGGGAAACCCUGAUGCAGCGACGCCGCGUGAGCGAAGAAGUAUUUCGGUAUGUAAAGCUCUAUCAGCAGGGAAGAAAAAUGACGGUACCUGAGUAAGAAGCACCGGCUAAAUACGUGCCAGCAUCCGCGGUAAUACGUAUGGUGCAAGCGUUAUCCGGAUUUACUGGGUGUAAAGGGAGCGCAGGCGGUGCGGCAAGUCUGAUGUGAAAGCCCGGGGCUCAACCCCGGGACUGCAUUGGAAACUACCGAACUAG
Molecule: ribosomal RNA, 639 nt
Filed under: uncultured bacterium
Lineage: Bacteria
Description: bacterial SSU rRNA
Rfam family: Bacterial small subunit ribosomal RNA
Source: RNAcentral